Molecule: ribosomal RNA, 253 nt
Filed under: uncultured bacterium
Lineage: Bacteria
Description: partial 16S ribosomal RNA
Rfam family: Bacterial small subunit ribosomal RNA
Source: RNAcentral
UACAGAGGGUGCGAGCGUUGUUCGGAAUUAUUGGGCGUAAAGCGCUUGUAGGCGGCUUGUUAAGUCCUGUGUGAAAGCCCUUGGCUUAACCAAGGAAGUGCGCAGGAAACUGGCGAGCUUGAGUGCCGGAGAGGGUCGCGGAAUUCCCGGUGUAGAGGUGAAAUUCGUAGAUAUCAGGAGGAACACCAGUGGCGAAGGCGGCUUCCUGGACACUAACUGACGCUGAGACGCGAAAGCGUGGGGAGCAAACAGG